Molecule: ribosomal RNA, 468 nt
Filed under: uncultured bacterium
Lineage: Bacteria
Description: partial 16S ribosomal RNA
Rfam family: Bacterial small subunit ribosomal RNA
Source: RNAcentral
GACGAACGCUGGCGGCGUGCUUAACACAUGCAAGUCGAACGGAAAGGCCCUGCUUUUGUGGGGUGCUCGAGUGGCGAACGGGUGAGUAACACGUGAGUAACCUGCCCUUGACUUUGGGAUAACUUCAUGAAACUGGGGCUAAUACCGGAUAGGAGCUCCUGCUGCAUGGUGGGGGUUGGAAAGUUUCGGCGGUUGGGGAUGGACUCGCGGCUUAUCAGCUUGUUGGUUGGGUAGUGGCUUACCAAGGCUUUGACGGGUAGCCGGCCUGAGAGGGUGACCGGCCACAUUGGGACUGAGAUACGGCCCAGACUCCUACGGGAGGCAGCAGUGGGGAAUAUUGCACAAUGGGCGGAAGCCUGAUGCAGCAACGCCGCGUGCGGGAUGACGGCCUUCGGGUUGUAAACCGCUUUCGCCUGUGACGAAGCGUGAGUGACGGUAAUGGGUAAAGAAGCACCGGCUAACUACGUG